This is a long non-coding RNA of Peromyscus leucopus (white-footed mouse), 2203 nucleotides long. RefSeq lists it as uncharacterized. NCBI's taxonomy places the organism in Eukaryota, Metazoa, Chordata, Mammalia, Rodentia, Cricetidae. The transcript is spliced from 2 exons. The record is from RefSeq and is a predicted model, not a curated record.
CGACAGCUCGCUGGAUAAGUUCCUCCUGGCCUCCGGUCGAGUCUCUAGCGCCUACCAGGGACUGGAGAGCUGACGUCCAGCUGCCUUGCUCACCAAACGAUUUCUAAGACCGUGAGAGCAAGUCUUCAGGGAGACUCCAGGUCAGUUCCUGGAGAUUCCUUCGAAGUCCAAAGUGUAUGGUGUCUUUCGCAACUUAACUUCAAGUUCUGGUAGGCAACCCAAAGCAAUAGCAAUAGGAGUGAUGUGGGGGUCUUUGGGGCAUCUCUGACCAACGACUUAAAAGGAGGUUAUCCCACACCCGGCACUGGGCUUUUAUUUUGCAUCUGACCCAGCCAAGAAAAAACAAGGGGACAGUGAUCACCAGUAAUGGAAAACUUCACCUCAAAAUAUUUUGUCCCACUCUCAUUGUGCCCCAGUUAUCAAGUAUUUCACAUUGAAAAUGCUAAAUAGUUGAGGAGAUAACUAUGGGCAACUUGUGAGCAUUGUACAAUGUGUACAUUGAUAUGUACAAUUUUAUGUUUGUAUAUGGAUUAAAGAACCAAUUUAAUUAAUAACAAUAGACUUUAUUUAUGGUGAGUUUCUCUGCUCUUGCCCAAGUCCUUCAGGAGCUGAAAUUUGUGUGCAAAUUUCUACUUACUGAUUCUGCUCCCUUUCUCCUCUCUCUCUCCCCUCUCCUCUCCACCACUUCCACAGGAUGACUGACUGGUGUGAGGUACCACCUCCUCCUUUACAUUUUCACGACGUCAGUGCUUUAUAAUAUGAACGUCUUGUGGUAUUUACAGGCAGCUCUUUUGAAUGUUUUGUUUGUCACCACCUAUAUUUAACCUUCUAUUUAUGAUGGUUUUGAUUUAUAGCCAGAUAUGUCAAGUCAGCUCCUUGAAGUUAGGAGACAGUCACUUUAAGGAAUAUUUAUUGAGUACCUAUGAUGUACUAGGAACUGUUCAGCUAAUGCACAGAAUUCUGAUAGCAAAAGCCUUUUGGGAAACUUGCAGUUGGGUCUCUAUUUUCAAUUUUAAUUCAAAUCAAAAGAGAAUUACCCUUUAAGUACUUUUACCAACUAAUACCAUACAUGUCAUAUGAUUAGAUAUAUCCUAAUUAUAUCUGAGGUGAAUGACGUCUGUCAAAAACUGUGAAAGUGGUUUUAGGGAGCAAUUUGAAGAGAUAGGGUACAGGAUGCUGCCCUUCAUGAAGAACUUGAACUCUUAUUGAUUGGCUUCCUUUGCCCCCAGCUUCUUGACUCCUUGCUUGCUCAUCUCAGGGAUUUCACAAACUGGUCUAAGGAUCUAUUUUCUCUUAUACACAAAUUAUAGCAAAAUACACACUGUGUACUCAACACUUCCCUGAUUACAAGGCCAAUAGAAGUAACUGAUAUACUAAACCAUGUCACUCAUGGUUCUUUGGUUGGUUUGUGGAGGUGAUGAGCUCAGCGUGGUUCCAGAAGUCUUGCAUUUCACUUGCUUGCUCAUGUAAGAUCUACAGCAAACCAGGAAACGACCUCACCCAGCACAGAUCAAUAGUCAACCAAAUCACUGCAUGUAAUAAAUGUUUGUAGGCAGGUCUUUCUUCAUUGGGGUAACCAGCUGUCCUGAUUCCCUGCCAACUAUGAGGAGUCCAAGGACAUGGGCUAGAGCUAAAACUAGGUCAGUCCCUCCCUGGGAGUGUCCCUGGCAAAUGCUGCUGCUGGCCAUGCUUUUCACAAGCAAUAAUGAAGGAGGAUGAAAGCCAGAACACACUUGGGAAUCUCUCCAGGCCAUGUAGGGCUGAGAGGACAGCAGCCCUUCCCUCUUCUAUCCUUACCCAAACUAACUUUUCUUUUUCCCUAAGACCAGGAAAAGGAACUCAGAAUUUCAAGGACUGCGGUGCGGGGAGAGGAAGGGAAGGAAGAAGGAAGAGAUGAAGAUACACAUAUAUACACACACAUAUGUAUGUAUAUAUGUAUGUAUGUAUGUAUGUGUGUAUGUAUAGAGUGAACUAAUUAGGAUGAAUUCAUAUGACUUAAACUAAAAUAUUAAUCAUCUAAUUAUUUGAAUUUAUGUUGAAGUACUGUGCUUAACAAUCCAUCCAUCUCCUCCUUUGAAACAUUGUUUGUAUCAAACCCAACUUCAAACUCAAUGUUUGCCUAUAUCACCUUAUUAUAGAAAAGCAUAAAUAACCCCCAAAACAUUUAACUUCAAUUAAAUACAAAUAAAAUAAUGUGAGUUUA